CUUCAAUUGAAGCCCCAAAUCAGCUCCAAAUCAAGCUCUAAUCACAUAUUAGUAAACACCUCGUUGUAAGGAUCAAAAGGCAAAGAGUCCGGUUCCUCUAGCGGGCAAGCCGGAGGGGAUUCACGAGGAAAAGGCGCGCUCUAAAGUUCUCAGGUACCCAAG
Long non-coding RNA from Helianthus annuus (common sunflower), 162 nucleotides. RefSeq lists it as uncharacterized. Lineage: Eukaryota; Viridiplantae; Streptophyta; Magnoliopsida; Asterales; Asteraceae. The record is from RefSeq and is a predicted model, not a curated record. The transcript is spliced from 3 exons.